This 314-nucleotide ribosomal RNA is filed under the name uncultured bacterium. Its description in RNAcentral is "bacterial SSU rRNA". It matches the Rfam family "Bacterial small subunit ribosomal RNA", at positions 27 to 345 of the family's 1533-position model. The record is from RNAcentral.
GAUUGAACGCUGGCGGCAUGCCUUACACAUGCAAGUCGAACGGCAGCACGGGGGCAACCCUGGUGGCGAGUGGCGAACGGGUGAGUAAUACAUCGGAACGUGCCCCGUAGCGGGGGACAACCAGUCGAAAGACUGGCUAAUACCGCAUACGCUCCACGGAGGAAAGCAGGGGAUCGCAAGACCUUGCACUAUGGGAGCGGCCGAUGCCCGAUUAGCUAGUUGGGAGGUAAGGCUCACCAAGCAACGAUCGGUAGCUGGUCUGAGAGGACGACCAGCCACACUGGGACUGAGACACGGCCCAGACUCCGUACGGG